GCUCCCCCGGCCCCGCCGCUCCGGGAGGAUGGUGGGAGCGAGAUGAUUCCCGAGCCGGAGCCGCCGCCAGCCCCGGCCCGGGAGGGAGAAGAGGAGGCGGCGGAGGAGGAGGCGAGGGAGGGCGGCGGCGCCGGGCGGCACAGCUGCAUCAUGCUGGUGAACAGGAUCGGCCUGAAGGCGGGCGGCGGCGGCGCGCAACAAGGUAUUGGUCGGCCAAGUGUGUACCAUGCAGUGGUGGUCAUAUUUCUAGAAUUCUUCGCCUGGGGGCUCUUGACAACUCCAAUGCUAACAGUCUUACAUGAAACGUUUUCCCAUCAUACAUUUUUAAUGAAUGGUCUUAUUCAAGGUGUUAAGGGUUUUUUCUCUUUUCUUAGUGCUCCGCUAAUAGGUGCUCUAUCGGAUGCAUGGGGAAGAAAAUAUUUUCUUCUUAUUACAGUUUUCUUCACUUGUGCCCCAAUUCCAUUAAUGAGAAUAAGUCCAUGGUGGUACUUCGCCAUGAUUUCGGUGUCAGGAAUCUUUUCUGUUACGUUUUCUGUAAUAUUUGCCUAUGUAGCUGAUGUAACACAAGAACAUGAAAGAAUUACAGCCUAUGGACUGGUAUCUGCCACUUUUGCAGCAAGUUUGGUAACUAGUCCUGCCAUUGGAGCAUACUUGUCUGCCAGCUAUGGAGAUAACCUUGUUGUACUAGUGGCCACAUUGGUGGCAGUUGUGGACAUCUGCUUCAUUCUGCUAGCUGUACCUGAAUCUCUGCCAGAAAAAAUAAGACCUGCUUCGUGGGGAGCUUCUAUAUCAUGGGAACAAGCAGAUCCUUUUGCAUCUUUGAAGAAGGUUAGAAAAGAUUCUACAGUUCUCCUGAUAUGCAUUACAGUGUUUCUCUCCUAUCUGCCUGAGGCUGGCCAGUAUUCUAGCUUUUUUCUGUACUUGCGACAGAUUAUAGGUUUUGGAUCUGCCAGUAUUGCAGCAUUUAUAGCUGUGGUAGGCAUUCUGUCUAUAAUAGCUCAGUGGUCCUCCUCAGACUGCUCCUGGCUGUACCAAGAAGGAUUACAGAGCCCUUGUAGCAGCCCUAAGGGACUCCGGAGUGCAGACUGUGUUUCUUGGUAUCUUGAUGAGGUCUAUAGGGAACAAAAAUACAGUUCUUCUUGGCCUUGGCUUUCAAAUCCUUCAGUUGGCUUGGUAUGGUUUUGGAUCUCAGUCUUGGAUGAUGUGGGUAGCAGGAGGUGUAGCAGCAAUGUCAAGCAUUACAUUCCCGGCAGUUGGCGCUCUGAUUUCACGAAAUGCAGAGUCAGACCAACAAGGUGUUGUCCAAGGAAUAAUAACUGGAGUAAGAGGUCUAUGCAAUGGCCUAGGACCAGCACUGUAUGGCUUUAUUUUCUUUCUUUUUCAUGUGGAGCUCAGUGAAUUGCCACCUGAUCAGACUUCUGGAAAAAAAGCAAUGCAAGAUCCCAGUGAUGAGAGAGCAAUCAUUCCUGGUCCACCCUUUCUGGUUGGAGCAUGCAUUGUUCUUCUGGCUUUCCUAGUCGCCUUAUUUAUUCCUGAGCACAGCAAAACCAGCAGUACCAGAAAACACAGCAGCAGCAGCAGCAAUACUCUGGUUAACAACCUAGACCGAAGUAGUGAAGAGGACAUUGAACCAUUGCUGCAAGAUAGCAGUGUAUGAAGGCUGCUUCUGAGGAGACUGUGGAAAAAAUCCAUACACUGAAUUGCAGCUCUGAAAACUUGAUGGGAUGUACAGAGAUCUUGCCUCUGAAAAGAAGGCAGCUUCCCAUGUGACAAGGGAACGUCAUAUGCUGUAUGAUACUUAAGGUUAAUACCAUACCUGCAGGAGGGUUUGUUUAGCAUAACAGAUCACAGCUGGGUGUGACUCAACCCAAUAUUGGACUGCAUAUGCUAGGUCAAAUCCUGGUAUUGGCAGAAAUGCAAAUAUACAGGCAUAAUGUUUUUUGUUUGUUUUUUAAAGUUUGAAUGUUCCAUUCCCAAAGUUGUAUGCAAAAUAACCAGGUUUGAGGCAGAAUGCUUUCUGCCACCACUGUUAAAGGUGGUUUUGUGUUUCUUAUGCCUUUUGUCUGCAUGUAUACCACAUAUAGUCCUCACAAUGUGAGAGGGACUGAUCAUACAGUUCUGGCGUCUGAAAUAGUGGCUGUCAAUACAAGUAAUACAAUUUCUGAAGACACAUUCUCAAAUGUUAUUUGGUAAAAAGAAAUCCAGAAGUUACAUGAAAGCAAUGAUGAAACUGAGAUGACUUUUGAGGGUAUAUGAUUACACAUGACAGUCAUUACCCAUAAAUGAAGGUCAUACUGAACCCUUAAACCUACAUUCCAGAACAGUCAGUUCUGAGCAGUUAAAGCAAAUCCAAAUGGCACCUGAGAGCACUGGUCACAUUAAUGUUUUGCUGAUUAAAAAUAGAAUUUUAAUUAUAAAAUAAGUGGCAUCAGAAAUAUGGACACUUCUGGCUUCUGAGGUAGGGAAAACAGUGGAUGCUAGAGUAGUUUACAUCAUGAAAUAUGUAUAUUUAUUGCAUUUUAUCACUUUAUCUGCAAUAUGAAAUAAUAUUUCCUAUUAAUUCUUUUCACCCCUGCCUUAACUGCCACUUAUUGUUCAGUUAUUAAUCAUAUUUAGCCUUCAUAUCACUGUCUUACCUGCUGGAUCUCAUGGGUAUAUUAAUAUCAAAUUUCCUUUCUAAAAGAUGCUUUAAAGGAGUUAUGAAUGGCUACAAAUGUGCUAAUUUUUAGAGACAUUUUAUGAAAAAUACAGAGAUUUAUAUGUAUUUUGUUGCAGUGUAAAUGGACCAUUAAACCCAACUUUAAUGAAGUACUCCUAUGAAUGUUUUAUAUGUAUGCAAUAUAUGUAGAUAUUUGUAAGGAGUUUUAAGUUUUCCAGAUGGGGUGCUGUGUAAAUCAGGUAUUUAUAAAUGUAAUGAGGGUACUGACAGAUAUACAGUUUUUUAAAAGGAUUGUGUAUUGACUGAACAAAUUUAAGAAUAUAUAUUUUGAAACUUGUUCCACAUUGAGCAGAGAUAACAAAUCUUUUGUACUAUGCGGUUUGGUUUUUAAAUUAAUAAGCUUCCUAAUGCAUAAUAAAUCUACACCUUAAGCUUU
RNA transcript from Strigops habroptila (Kakapo), 3095 nucleotides. It is a transcript of the gene named hippocampus abundant transcript-like protein 1, with no coding region annotated. NCBI's taxonomy places the organism in Eukaryota, Metazoa, Chordata, Aves, Psittaciformes, Psittacidae. The transcript is spliced from 13 exons. The record is from RefSeq and is a predicted model, not a curated record.